AUGCUCUAUAUAAACCUCUGAAAUUCUUUUAACAAUACUGAAUUUUAUUUCUGCUUUUGAUAUUGAAGCAAAAUAUUUGAAAUGGCUAAGUUUUCCUUCAUGUCAAUUAUCGCUGUUGCCUUCAUUUUUUUAGUUAUAGCAGAGACAAGUGAUGCAGAAGAAUGUCUUGCAUUUCGUGAAGGUGAAUGCGUUCUUGCAUCAUGUGUAGAAUGGUGUUCUCAAGCAUUUAAAGGUCAUGGAACAUGUGUUGGUGAAGAUCCCUCAACUUAUGAAUGUGAUUGCGUAUAUAAUUGUUCUACCUAGAACCAAAAUAUCAUAAUUAUUUUUAUUUUAAAUGUAGAACUGUAUUGAAAUAAAGUGAAUAAAUUCGAGAGAAUUACAGUUAUAAAAUUUUAUUUAAGUGUUUCUUA
Vicia villosa (hairy vetch) is the source of this 410-nucleotide long non-coding RNA. RefSeq lists it as uncharacterized. NCBI's taxonomy places the organism in Eukaryota, Viridiplantae, Streptophyta, Magnoliopsida, Fabales, Fabaceae. The record is from RefSeq and is a predicted model, not a curated record. The transcript has 2 exons.